Molecule: ribosomal RNA, 253 nt
Filed under: uncultured bacterium
Lineage: Bacteria
Description: partial 16S ribosomal RNA
Rfam family: Bacterial small subunit ribosomal RNA
Source: RNAcentral
UACGUAGGGUGCGAGCGUUGUCCGGAAUUAUUGGGCGUAAAGAGCUCGUAGGCGGCUUGUCGCGUCGGAUGUGAAAGCCCGGGGCUUAACUCCGGGUCUGCAUUCGAUACGGGCAGGCUAGAGUUCGGUAGGGGAGAUCGGAAUUCCUGGUGUAGCGGUGAAAUGCGCAGAUAUCAGGAGGAACACCGGUGGCGAAGGCGGAUCUCUGGGCCGUAACUGACGCUGAGGAGCGAAAGCGUGGGGAGCGAACAGG